Molecule: ribosomal RNA, 253 nt
Filed under: uncultured bacterium
Lineage: Bacteria
Description: partial 16S ribosomal RNA
Rfam family: Bacterial small subunit ribosomal RNA
Source: RNAcentral
UACGGGGGGGGCAAGCGUUGUUCGGAAUUACUGGGCGUAAAGGGCUUGUAGGUGGCCAACUAAGUCAGACGUGAAAUCCCUCGGCUUAACCGGGGAACUGCGUCUGAUACUGGAUGGCUAGAGUGUGGGAGAGGGAUGCGGAAUUCCAGGUGUAGCGGUGAAAUGCGCAGAUAUCAGGAGGAACACCGGUGGCGAAGGCGGAUCUCUGGGCCAUUACUGACGCUGAGGAGCGAAAGCGUGGGGAGCGAACAGG